UCCUGGCUCAGGACGAACGCUGGCGGCGUGCCUAAUACAUGCAAGUCGAGCGGACAGAAGGGAGCUUGCUCCCGGAUGUUAGCGGCGGACGGGUGAGUAACACGUGGGUAACCUGCCUGUAAGACUGGGAUAACUCCGGGAAACCGGAGCUAAUACCCGGAUAGUUCCUUGAACCGCAUGGUUCAAGGAUGAAAGACGGUUUCGGCUGUCACUUUACAGAUGGACCCGCGGCGCAUUAGCUAGUUGGUGGGGUAAUGGCUCACCAAGGCGACGAUGCGUAGCCGACCUGAGAGGGUGAUCGGCCACACUGGGACUGAGACACGGCCCAGACUCCUACGGGAGGCAGCAGUAGGGAAUCUUCCGCAAUGGACGAAAGUCUGACGGAGCAACGCCGCGUGAGUGAUGAAGGUUUUCGGAUCGUAAAGCUCUGUUGUUAGGGAAGAACAAGUGCGAGAGUAACUGCUCGCACCUUGACGGUACCUAACCAGAAAGCCACGGCUAACUACGUGCCAGCAGCCGCGGUAAUACGUAGGUGGCAAGCGUUGUCCGGAAUUAUUGGGCGUAAAGGGCUCGCAGGCGGUUUCUUAAGUCUGAUGUGAAAGCCCCCGGCUCAACCGGGGAGGGUCAUUGGAAACUGGGAAACUUGAGUGCAGAAGAGGAGAGUGGAAUUCCACGUGUAGCGGUGAAAUGCGUAGAGAUGUGGAGGAACACCAGUGGCGAAGGCGACUCUCUGGUCUGUAACUGACGCUGAGGAGCGAAAGCGUGGGGAGCGAACAGGAUUAGAUACCCUGGUAGUCCACGCCGUAAACGAUGAGUGCUAAGUGUUAGGGGGUUUCCGCCCCUUAGUGCUGCAGCU
Molecule: ribosomal RNA, 856 nt
Filed under: Bacillus safensis
Lineage: Bacteria; Bacillati; Bacillota; Bacilli; Caryophanales; Bacillaceae
Description: bacterial SSU rRNA
Rfam family: Bacterial small subunit ribosomal RNA
Source: RNAcentral